Rosa rugosa (rugosa rose) is the source of this 1252-nucleotide long non-coding RNA. RefSeq lists it as uncharacterized. The transcript is spliced from 4 exons. The record is from RefSeq and is a predicted model, not a curated record. NCBI's taxonomy places the organism in Eukaryota, Viridiplantae, Streptophyta, Magnoliopsida, Rosales, Rosaceae.
ACCCUAGAACCUCUCUCCUCUCUCGGCCGCGUCCUCUCCUCUCUCUUUCCCGUCUUCCCUCUGCAAGCGCCGGAAGCCACCAUCUCCGACCACCACCUUGCAACACCGCCUCCACCCUUCAAACCCACAUCCAAAUCUGAUCAAAGCCCAACCAAAAUCCCCACCAUGCAUUGAUUCCAGCUUCCAUGCUCACCUCAAAACCGCGGCAGCACUGUUCUCCAGCUUUCUUCCAAUUUCCGGUAACUGCUCCGCCGUGUCGCCAUCACCCUCGACUCAGAACUCACCGAACACCCAGACCUUGAAUCCCCGUAGCACGCCGACGCCGGAGAACGUCGUACAUAUCUUCGCCGGAGUCUUAGCUUCUACUGAGAUCGAUUCCUCUUUUCUGGGUUAAAUCGAGCUACACGACCACCAUGGAUGGAGUCAGCACUUCAACCAAGGUCUAGAAUAGCCCUUAACCUGGACCUCCGAUUUCGACCAGAGCCACCCAGCACCGCCGUGAGAGCCACCGGCUUACCUCUCUCAUCUGGUAAGCUCUAUUUCGUCACCUGUUUUCUUGGUUGAGGCCUCUGCUUUGAAUUGGAUUGAGAAACCCUAACCCACUGUCACUUAAUUUCGAAAUGAGGUUCUUGGAUUUCUGCGAAUUGGAGUUUCGGAGAAGAUGAGCUACUGGGGUAGCUUUGGUUGAAACCAGAAAUGAUGGAGACUUGAGGUUUGAGGAAUCUGCGUUUUUGAAGAUUUUGGAGAAGAAUGAAUUGUUGGGUCAGUUUCGAUUUGAAUCAUAAAUGGUGUUAAAACGAUUGUGGUGGUGAAUUCCUGCAUCGACGAAUUGAUCUCCGAAUUGGGAAAGAAGAAUGGACUCGAGCGUGUGCACAUGAAAUUGGAAGAAGUAUCGAAAGUCAGAAACGAAGCUAAGUUCGGACGAGCACACCAUAUCCAGUGUGCAGGUUUCGAGCAUGUGGUCGAGGAGUGUACAGAGGAGGCACAUGGCUCGGCUUGGCGCAUUUCUCUUUGACGUUGUUAAAAGAGGGUUUUGGUCCCUUAUCGGAUUUUGAAGUACCUUAUUUAUUUACUUUUUAUUUAUUUAUUUGUUUUCUACUUGCUUAUUUACAAAAUUUUGGGAGACCCGUAACCCUGGGCCGCGUCUCUCAUACUUGUAUUUACUUAGUGAUUUGUUAUUUCCCAAAUUGGGCUCCUAUUGUAAGCCCAAAUCCUUUAGCCCACUUUAAAUUCCGCCUUUAAAAAUAUGUUG